Molecule: long non-coding RNA, 1020 nt
Filed under: Urocitellus parryii (Arctic ground squirrel)
Lineage: Eukaryota; Metazoa; Chordata; Mammalia; Rodentia; Sciuridae
Description: lncRNA (ENSUPAG00010023462.1)
Source: RNAcentral
AUGCCGGGCCAUUCGCAAAAGGGGCGAUCGGAACCGUCCGCGCGAAAGGAGCAGGGCCGCGGAAUCUACGGAGCAGUCACGAGGCCCGCAGCGAAGGGCACGCAGCUCCCGGCGGGUCGUCCCUGCCGCGACGUCCCCCGUCCCCGUGGGUGCAGCGGGGCAGUCUGCGCCCUGUCCUUUCGCAGACAACUAGGGGCUCCGGGGGCGGCCACACCGGGAAGAGGGAGCAGGCAGACACCGAGGUGCGGGGCCUCACGGCGGGGAGGGCGACCAAGGCCUGCGCGUCCCCACGUGCCUGGCCCCAGGCCCCCGCCCCGCGCGCCAGAAGCAUCGCGCGGGCGAGCGGCGCGGCUCGGGGCGGCCGGGCUCUGCCAGGGCCACGCAGCGCGCGGGGGCCGGGCGCGCAGCCCUCGCCAGUCCCCAGCGGCCCGGGCAGGCGCUGGAACCUGGCGGGCGCGCCCGGGGCUCGGACUCCCGCGCGGCCCUGCGCGUUUCCCGGAAGCGCCCGAGCGGCGCCGGCGCAGCCGGGACUCGGCUCCCAGAGUGCCGCGGGCCGCCCGCCCCACGACCGCGCCGGAAGCUGCCAGCGCUGGGGGCCGGGCGCGGGUGAGACGGCGCGGGCCGCAAGCCGGUGGGGACCGCCAGGUGUCCGGCGGGGCCCCUCCCGUCAGAGUGGUCGUGGGGGCCCUGCGGCCGGAGCCGAUAUCCAGCUCCCAGGUUGGGUCCUCCCGGCGGCGGCGCGCGGGGUUCCUCCAGCCCGCGGCCUGCGGGGAAGAACCUGGCUCGCGAGGGCCUCCAGGGACCAGCCAGGCGUGGGUGGACACGGGGCUGCCAACACCGUACUGCCCCUUGCCUGUCUGUGGCUUGUGGGCUUUGGCUGAGAGUAGCCCCCACGAUUUGCUCCUGGAGCCUCAGCGCCAAGGUUUUCUGCCUCCAGCUGCUCUGGUUCCGAUGGUAGCCUCCAGGCCGCUGUGGAGCCCCAGGCAGGGCCGUGGGAAACAGGACUGGGAGGUGGUGUGA